UUUGUUUUGAGAAUAACUCUGUUAUUACAGUAAACUUUUAUCACUGGUUUGUGUUGAUUUCUCUUGUAUCACAAAUUGUUGCAACUAUUAUAGUAAUAUGGAUAUUCUGAAAUUGAUUCCAUUUGGUAGUUGGUUUGAAUACGACUUUGGCCUCAUUGUUCUCUACUGAUUUCAUAUUGUAUUUUAGUUUGUAGAUUAUCUUACCAAGUUGUGUGUUGUAACUAACUCUAGAAGGGUUUUGCUGUUAUGAUAAUUUGUGAGCAUUAUAACAUAUUGAAUUGCAACUUAUAUUUGGCACGUCCAGUUGGUUUUCCGUUUGGCAAAGUGUUAUAUUGUUCUUAUGGGCAAGGCUUUUGUAUUGUUAUAUCCAACAGGUUUGUUGAUGUUAUUCUCUUUACGUCCUGUUAAUCGUAUCAUGUUGAUUUUGUGGGCAUAUUGAACUUCAUGAUGUGUUAUGUCGGGGUAAUUUAGUAUUGAUUACAAUGGAUUGGUUACAGGUUUAAUGAUAUUAUCUUCUUGCUGCGGAAUUAAAAUGGUUUGGCAUCGCGUAUAACAGUUUAUGUUAUGUUUUCCUGGAUGUUAUGCUGUUUGUUAUAACCACUGUUUUGGUUUUGAUUCGGUUGCAGUAAUCUAUGCUGAUGGGUAUGUUGUAAUAUUCUUUUCCGGGGUGUUUUCAAUGUGAUCGUGUUGUUGUUGUGUGCUUAAGUUGUCGCGUUUAAAUUCAAAUAUCAUUCGCAGCUUCGACGCGUAAAUGUUUCGAUUAUAUUUCUGUUUCAAUUGCAUAUUUACUUCCUUUCCGAUUGGGU
RNAcentral lists this long non-coding RNA (806 nucleotides) under Lathyrus oleraceus (garden pea). RNAcentral's name for it is "Pisum sativum (pea) long non-coding RNA (PSAT_LNC001528)". Lineage: Eukaryota; Viridiplantae; Streptophyta; Magnoliopsida; Fabales; Fabaceae. The record is from RNAcentral.